RNAcentral lists this ribosomal RNA (426 nucleotides) under uncultured bacterium. RNAcentral describes it as "bacterial SSU rRNA". It matches the Rfam family "Bacterial small subunit ribosomal RNA", at positions 354 to 796 of the family's 1533-position model. The record is from RNAcentral.
GUGAGGAAUUUUCCGCAAUGGGCGAAAGCCUGACGGAGCAAUGCCGCGUGAAGGAUGAAGGCCUAUGGGUUGUAAACUUCUUUUCUCAGAAAAGAAUUAUGACGGUAUCUGAGGAAUAAGCAUCGGCUAACUCUGUGCCAGCAGCCGCGGUAAGACAGAGGAUGCAAGCGUUAUCCGGAAUGAUUGGGCGUAAAGCGUCUGUAGGUUGUUUAAAAAGUAUUCUGUCAAAGAUUAGGGCUUAACCCUAGAUAGGCAGAAUAAACUUUUAAGCUAGAGUUGUGUAGAGGCAGAGGGAAUUCCCGGUGGAGCGGUGAAAUGCGUAGAUAUCGGGAGGAACACCAAAGGCGAAGGCACUCUGCUGGGCCAAUACUAACACUGAGAGACGAAAGCGAGGGGAGCAAAUGGGAUUAGAUACCCGGGUAGUCC